Chinchilla lanigera (long-tailed chinchilla) is the source of this 2498-nucleotide long non-coding RNA. RefSeq lists it as uncharacterized. NCBI's taxonomy places the organism in Eukaryota, Metazoa, Chordata, Mammalia, Rodentia, Chinchillidae. The transcript has 2 exons. The record is from RefSeq and is a predicted model, not a curated record.
UCCCUGUGCUCAAUCCCUGCAGCAACCCUGGUUGUUUACGGUGGUGAUAGGGUUUUGGCUUUUGUUUUGAGAAGUCUGAAAUGCCAAUUGGUUUUGUGGUGUGGCCACAAUCUGCCAGGACUAGGCGCAUGCACCCAGCUGCCAGAGGUCCCCUGCCUGCCCCUGCCCUCCCUCUUCUAAGUGCCAGGACACCACAGACUGGACUGAUGCUGAAGACAUCCCUUUUCUUUGGUUUUUUUGUUUGUUUUGAGUUUAUACAAUCAUUAAGAAAUCUUUGGUUUUGGCUGGAAAAUUUAAAAAACAAAACAAAACAAAGAAACCACCCUCCCCUGGCUUAUAGCAGCAGUAUUAUGACCUGGCUAGGAUUCUGUUCAACUUUAAAGGUGGGAGCUGAAGGUUGAGAACUACAUUCAAAGAAAAGGUGAAAGGGCAGGGGAUGCAGCUUCUAGAGAGCCCGCUGGAUAUAAGAUUGUCAAAUAAUAAUAUUAAUAAUAAUAAACUUAAAUAUUUGAAUUUUUUUUUUCUUUUUGGUCAUGUCAAAGGAAAAAAGUGAAAUGUAUAUGCAGCAGUCAGUUUAAAAGAGCCUUUGGUGUCUUCCCUUCUGCCCCAAGUUCUGCAGAUACACAGAAGCCUGUGGCCUCCGAGAGGGCGGGGCAGGGGCAGCCCUGGAAGGCAUCAUGGCAGAGAGUGGAUGUGAUGAGAUCUCUAACAACCCCUUUGCAACAGAAAGGAACAGAAGAUUGCAAUUUGCCCUCGGAUUUGCAGUAGCUUUCAAGCAGUGACAUUCGGAGGCUUCAGAAGGUCCCACCCUCGGCUACAGGUCUCAAGAUGCUAUAGGCCAGAGUUCAACAGUACAGAGAGGAGGGAGGGCAGACUUGGCAACUCUGUAGGGCUGAGAGGAAGCUAAAGCAAGUGACGCAGUCACGAGUUAGAAAUGAGGUAUACAACAGCUCCUGGACUUGUGGUGGGCAGGAAAACCCACGCUUACUCACCUAGCCCUCGCCACUACCACAGAUGAGGGGGAUGGGGACGUCUCCCUGCAGCAAGACCUCCUGUGGCCUGGGUAAUGCACACUGCCCGUGCAAGCAGAGGUAAGAGGCUGCUACAAGUCUGUUCAUCUCCUUACCCUUUGGUUCUCAGAAACGACCACUUUUUCUGUUGUAGAAGUCGGUAUGAGAAAAUGGUUGCAAAGUGUCAUGAUUCCUCCUUUCAUUUCUCCACCCAGGCCGGAACGAGGCACUCCACUUAGGAGGUGACAUGCUUCUGCACGUCACGCAGGAAUGGAAAAAAAGCCAUGGCUCCCCCCAGCCACACAAGACCUCGGUGUUACAGGUCAAGAAAGAUCUGUGAGGAUGACCCAUCUUGGGAGCAAUGGCAAAUUAUGAACUACAGAGUUUCUCUGCAAGCCAAGUGUUCACUGCCUACUACUUGAAAUGUUUUCUGCUGGGAUUCCUAACCUUAAAAACUGACACAAAUUCCUUAUAUUUGCAGGUGCAUCUAGCUUUUCCAGAAAGUUAAACAUAAUUUUAUAAUAAAGAGUGGGUUGCAUUUAAAAAUUGUGUCAAACAAAUAUCUGUGCUUUCAGAUCAUAUAUUUUCCUCUUCCCAAAUACAUGAAGAUUAAUAGACAAACUAACAUUAAAAAGAGGUAUAACUGUGCUUUUCCCCCCAAGAACAAAUGAAAAAUUGGCAAGAUGAGCUCACUAAAAAUCUUUCAAUGGAUAUUUUCCCUUUUAAAAAUAUUAAUUUCUAAUAAUGCUACCAUGAAGUGUAAACAGGUGUGGUUCUAUGCAAAAUGAAAGUUGAAUUCCUUUGGUUCCAUUCUUGAGUGACAAACUGAAUAAAUUGGGAUGGUUUUGACCUUUCUGACAACAACUAAAAGGGAGUGUGUAUAAUAUCACUUAAUGGGUAUAAGUAAUUCUUUCUUAGUUUAAAAAGCUGCCUUUUGAACCUCAGAAACAUUUCAACUAAUACAGCUUAUUUCAAUUUAUUUCCUUUAAACUCAUUUCUUAGAAUAAUAUUAUUUCUGUGAGAAGCCCUUUUUUAGAUCUUUCUGUUCUGUUUUUCAGAUUUAUAUAGGGUAUAAAUAAAGUUCAUGACCAAACUGCAUCGCUUAUGCUAAGCAGGGUUUAUAAUUACAUUCACUACUCCCUUAGGAGGGCCCAUUAUCAUGGGCAAAUACAGUAUUACUAUAAAUGCAUUUAAAAUUAGUCUUUGGCUUAACAUGUGUUAACCAAAUUCAGGGAGGAAAUAAAACUUGCAUAAACACUAAUGGUAAGAAAAAAAGAAAGUAACAAGAACUGUAACAACUACCUGGCCUUUCUUCCAAAUAUAAGGACUCUACCAAAGAACUCUUUUUGGUCAAAUGACCCCUUGAGUUUCCACACUCCCCUCUAACAGGUGGCUGAAAGUUAGGUCUGAGUACCUUAGCUUAGGAGAUAGUUCAUUCAAUUCAAAAAGUAUUUCUCAAGAUGAUAAAAAAAAAAAAAAAAAAAAAAA